AUCUUUAGCUCAGUUGGUUAGAGCAACCGGCUCAUAACCGGCAUGUCCUGGGUUCGAAUCCUAGAAGAU
RNAcentral lists this transfer RNA (69 nucleotides) under uncultured Blautia sp. It matches the Rfam family "tRNA". From Rfam's summary of the family: Transfer RNA (tRNA) molecules are approximately 80 nucleotides in length. Their secondary structure includes four short double-helical elements and three loops (D, anti-codon, and T loops). The record is from RNAcentral. Lineage: Bacteria; Bacillati; Bacillota; Clostridia; Lachnospirales; Lachnospiraceae.